CUAGAGCCAUUCUUCCUCUCUCAUUUAUGGGUUAGAAGCCAAAGGAGUUACACCUCACUGAGGCUGUACUUGUUUUGAGUUGUUGUCAGUCAUCUGAAGGGGUAUUCUAUGGAAUAGAAUAGAACAGAAUGAAAGAAAAUGCCCAUCCUGACUGUCAUCUUACCCCCAAAUGUGGAUUUAACUAUUCCAUUUUUGUAAUCUCACUUACUGAAGUUAAGGGUGUUGGAGUCCAGUAAAAACAGAGGAAGUAAUAAAAAUUUAGGCUCAUCAAUAUUAUAGUAUGUGAUUUAUUUUACCACACUGUUUUGAUACUCUAUAUGUGGGCCUCGACUAUUUUUGCAAGAUACAAUACAAAUACAGAACAGAAAUGUGGAUUUUUCUGCCAAAGAGGAAUAAAAGAGAUUACUAGAUAAAAGCACGCAGAUGGAUACAAAGGAAUAUGUUGGUGAAGGAUCCCAGCAUACAUGGCUUAUUUACUGCCAAGAAUUUUGAAAGGAGAAUUUUUAAGAAGAGCUUGAGGAAUAUUUUUAUGUAUGUUUAUAGAGAAUUCCCAGAACAGAUGCAAGACUGUACCUCAGUGGGCUGCCUUGGAGAACACUGAGAGAAAAUAUAUGGUUUGAGAAUAUGGGAAUCUCUUAGCCAGAAAGACGGCAGAGCAAAAGACAGAAGAGAAGUAAGAGUGGAAAGACAAGACACCAAAGACCUGCAUUACAAAGACUGCAGUAGGAGAGGAUACAAAGACAAGACCUUAAAGUGGAGGCAAAACCAGUCCUCUCUGCAAAGCAAAGAAGGAUUAAAAUACAAAGAAACCAAUGAUAACAUAAAUUUAAAAGCCAGGCCAGCUAAGAGGGAUUAAGACACAUAUUUUGGCAGGCAGAACUAGUGAUGGACCAUGAUGACAGAAGCCAAAAGCAACAAUGCAAUAGACUGAAGCUUAAUGAGGUGGAAUGGAGCCAGCACUUAGAUUUGUUUAAAUACGCAUAGGAAUUGGCCUGCUGUCAUUUUAUCAAAUAUGACAAGACAUAAGGCUGAAUACCCCCAAAAACUUCUUCUACAUCCACUACUACCCACAUACCUUACUAAUAAUGGGAGCAAAUAUGGAAACUGCUGAAGUUAGUCUGAAGAAAAAUAUAACUAAAGAUACGCUUAAAUAAUCCCAAUAUCAUUUCAGUUAAUGUCACCAUUAUACACAGCACUCUCCCAACAGAAUGUGGAAUAUCUUAUUUUGCCUUUGACAAGCUCAGAGAAUUGAAAGUCAAAAUUCAGAAACAAUCUACCACACAUCUGCUUUAUUUGCACUUAUCUCCAUUAAAUGGGAAUGAACAUCAGCAAUGGCUAACAGUGUUUGAUUUAAGGAGAGAUGAUACUUAGGACAGAAAAGCCUAUAGUAGUUGAUAAUACUACAGUUCUCCUUUAUUCUCCUUAUCAGUUCCUCCCUCAUGUUACAUACAAAUACUGAAACUGAGAAAGUACUGUCAUAAUGUGUAGCAUUAUUAUCUCUGCAUUCAUGUCAGUGGAAAUGCUAAGUCAUGGCCUGAACCAGUGAUUGAGAAUCUGGUGAGAAGACAGGGCCAACCAAGGGGAGCUCAGGUGCAAGCAAUGCCCCUGAGUGACUGGAAAGGGUGGAGCCAGGAUCCACCCCUCCCCAGACCUCAUUUAAUGGUUGACAGUGGA
Molecule: long non-coding RNA, 1674 nt
Organism: Tympanuchus pallidicinctus (lesser prairie-chicken)
Lineage: Eukaryota; Metazoa; Chordata; Aves; Galliformes; Phasianidae
Exons: 3
Source: RefSeq, a predicted model, not a curated record